AACGAACGCUGGCGGCAUGCCUAACACAUGCAAGUCGAACGAGACCUUCGGGUCUAGUGGCGCGCGGGUGCGUACCGCGUGGGAACCUGCCCUUAGGUUCGGAAUAACUCCCCGAGAGGGGUGCUAAUACCGGAUAAUGUCUUCGGACCAAAGAUUUAUCGCCUUUGGAUGGGCCCGCGUUGGAUUAGCUAGUUGGUAGGGUAAAAGCCUACCAAGGCGACGAUCCAUAGCUGGUCUGAGAGGAUGAUCAGCCACACUGGGACUGAGACACGGCCCAGACUCCUACGGGAGGCAGCAGUGGGGAAUAUUGGACAAUGGGCGAAAGCCUGAUCCAGCAAUGCCGCGUGAGUGAUGAAGGCCUUAGGGUUGUAAAGCUCUUUUACCCGGGAUGAUAAUGACAGUACCGGGAGAAUAAGCUCCGGCUAACUCCGUG
RNAcentral lists this ribosomal RNA (433 nucleotides) under uncultured bacterium. Its description in RNAcentral is "partial 16S ribosomal RNA". It matches the Rfam family "Bacterial small subunit ribosomal RNA", at positions 29 to 507 of the family's 1533-position model. The record is from RNAcentral.